Molecule: RNA transcript, 745 nt
Organism: Camelina sativa (false flax)
Lineage: Eukaryota; Viridiplantae; Streptophyta; Magnoliopsida; Brassicales; Brassicaceae
Source: RefSeq, a predicted model, not a curated record
UCUCUGGUUCUUGUCUCCUUAUGAAUGGAGCUUCUCACAAGCUCCCGCAAAUCACUCGGCUUCACUAAACCACCCCAUUUUGGCGAACCGUAGAUGAGAAGCUAGAGGAGCAUGGUGAAGAAGAAAACGACAACCUCGAGGAUGAUUCAGAGGAGACUCCCUUCUGUUUCUCCUUUGCUGCAGCCUUCUUCUUAUUCUUACUCUUCUCCUGCAAAUCCAGUUUUAAUGGAGAAGACAUUUGCAAGCAAAGACUAAAAAGAGAGAAGAGAAUGUUACCUGAAGGCAGAGACUUUAGCUCAUCUCCAGUGACGGCAACACGUCUCGGUGGAUAAUGUUGCCGAGGAAGUAAAUUUAGAAGAAGAAGAAGAAGAGACAGGAGGACAAAGAAGAACCCAGCAUUAAGACAAAGGUAAAGCUACUUGUGAAGUUAUGACCAGACAAGGAAUUAGGUUUCUCUGUAUCUGUUCUCUUGGAGGGUUCCUUGAAGAAGAAAGAAGAGAAGAAGAAAAGAAAAAGUUUUUUUUUUUUUUGUGGUUUGUGGUCUUUGAGAAUUGAGAGAAGUGAAGUCUGUAAAAAGGCAAAGAGCUCUGGCUACAAUUAUAUGGAGAAGCUCCUUUUCAAAGCAUAUAUAAAAAACAUCGGUUAUGUAAUAAUGUAAUGUACGUAGGUACACAUACACAUGCGUGUACAUAUGUAUUCGUGUGUAUCCGUAUAGAUUUAUACAUGUAAGAGAAUGUAAAUGAUU